Long non-coding RNA from Manduca sexta (tobacco hornworm), 682 nucleotides. RefSeq lists it as uncharacterized. NCBI's taxonomy places the organism in Eukaryota, Metazoa, Arthropoda, Insecta, Lepidoptera, Sphingidae. The transcript is spliced from 3 exons. The record is from RefSeq and is a predicted model, not a curated record.
GUACGUAUUUAUUUUGAGGUAUUUUCUCUGUUUUUGAUAAUAACACAGUCAAGGAUAUUCAAUAUAAAUUAAUUUGUGUGGUAUCAGUUCAGUGGAAUUUGUGAUAAACUUUGACCUACGCGAAGUACACGUCUUAUACGUUAAGAUUAGUACGGCCACAGAUAACUUAUUAAGUAGUAAGGAGCAGUCUUAGCGGUACACUGUAGGUACGUCUCGUUAUGGAGUUGGAUGCUAUAUUAUUAGGACUUGUUUUGUAUUUCCUUCUGGUUGGAAUACUGAUUGUUAUAAAUGAAGCGUUCUGCAAAACUGCUUGUAUUAACAACGCACGAAGAAUAAAUAACCAGGGUCCACCCGAUGUCGAAAUAAAUGAAAGACGACCGAAGAAAACAAUAACCAAACAACCGAAACAAAACCACUCGAGGGGCGACAUGCCACAGGUGCAUAGAACAAGAUAUUAGUUUCUACUAAGCGUCACGUGAUGCCAUUACUAGUACUUAUAAAAAUGUUCAUAGUAUUUUUCAAAAGAUACAAUAGAGAAUCUAAAUCUAUUUUAAUAAGUGAUAAAUUGUUCGAAAUUCGAAAGCCCAAUACUGGAAGUAAGUUAAAAAUACAAGCAUUGGAAUAAAACGAAAAAUGUUUUUAUCAAAUUGUUUACUUAAUCUUAUUAAAGAAUCUAAUUAAA